RNAcentral lists this small RNA (106 nucleotides) under Marmota monax (woodchuck). The record is from RNAcentral. Lineage: Eukaryota; Metazoa; Chordata; Mammalia; Rodentia; Sciuridae.
GCUGGACAUGGUGGCGCAUGCCUGUAAUCCCAGCAACUCAGGAGGCUGAGGUAGGGGAAUCACGAGUUCAAAGCCAGCCUCAGAAUUUAGCAAGACCCUAUCUCUA